UCCUGUCUGACAAAUGGUUUAAUUCAUUCUGGCAUGUUUUGAACUUUUUGUUCUUGUUACAGGGUUUCUUUUGGUUUGGUUUUGUUCUUUUUNNNNNNNNNNNNNNNNNNNNNNNNNNCCCCCCCCCCCCCCCCCCCAAUCAGGCUUCAGUAUCCUGCUUCUGUGCAAGUUGCUUUCAAUAUUCUAUUAAUUAACGAGACUGAACAUUUUAAAAUAAAUUAGUUAUUUUUAAGCACUUUUUUCUUUUUCUGAAAAUAAGCCUAAUGCAAGUUCUGGAACCUCUUUAAAAACACAAAAUGCAGAUAAAAUCCCAACCUCAACUCCUAUCUAGUUCAGAGAGUAUUCCAUACUAGUGCCUGCAAAGGCCAAGAUUCUGGAAAAGGUGUAAAUAGUGUGACAUGUUCAGUGCAUGGUUGUUUGAACAGGGCUUGUUAUUGUCAAAAAAAAAAAAAAAAAAAAAAAAAAAAAAAAAAAAAAAAAAAAAAAAAAAAAAAAAAAAAAAAAAAAAAAUUAAAUCACCUCAUCAUCUCUGCCACUCAAUUUGGGUUGUUAAAAAGCCUCGACUUAGUGGGUUAGGGAUCACCAGCACACCAGAAUCCUUUGCAGAGAGGAGCACAGCCAUGAUUUGUACACCCAUUGUGUGUCACAGGGGCUCUGGGGGUGGCAGCCAUGCAGAACAGCAGCCACAGCACAGCCCCAAAACCAGACACUGUGGGAGCAAAGCAAGGGCCCAAAGUGCCUGGUGAGCCUUUCACUAGGAAUUGCUUCAACCAGUCUGGAGUCCCACACACGAAGGCAAGGACAACCCAGGACUGUGUCAUGCCAGGCAAGGGAGUGGGGGGAAAAGGGAGAGAAACGUGCUGGGCAGGAGGGACAACUCUUCCAUGAGGCCCUGGGGAUGAGCUUGGAAAGGUGGCAAGUCCCAGCUUGCUCCUCCUGCCAGAAACUCCUAUUCCUGCUGCCCUCCCACGCCCUGUGCUCCUGGUGUGACCUUCCUCCCAGCCCAGCACCCCGCAGCCACUCCCAGGCAGCUCCCAAGGGGACCAGAGGGGCAGGGGAUGGAUGGGCUGAGCGAGCCUGGGGAAGGAGGAGGGCUCCAAGGGCUCAGGAAGCAUCCUGCAGAAGGGAGGGGAGGAAAGCCAACCUUCCCACAGGGGAUGGGCUGCUCCUGGGGGACAGCAAACCCACGUGGCUCUGACUUCAUUUCACACCCGCACCUGGGGCAGGGGAAGUGCUCUCCAAAGUUAUGGAUGAAAAAGAUGUGAUUUAAAAAUAAAGAGUAGUCCUCUCCAAGACA
Molecule: long non-coding RNA, 1297 nt
Filed under: Junco hyemalis (dark-eyed junco)
Lineage: Eukaryota; Metazoa; Chordata; Aves; Passeriformes; Passerellidae
Description: lncRNA (ENSJHYG00000002523.1)
Source: RNAcentral